CCUACGGGAGGCAGCAGUGAGGAAUAUUGGUCAAUGGGCGGAAGCCUGAACCAGCCAAGUAGCGUGCGGGAUGAAGGCCCUACGGGUCGUAAACCGCUUUUGCACGGGGAUAACACCCUCCACUUGUGGAGGUCUGCAGGUACCGUGCGAAUACGGGCCGGCUAAUUCCGUGCCAGCAGCCGCGGUAAUACGGAAGGCCCGAGCGUUAUCCGGAUUCAUUGGGCUUAAAGGGAGCGUAGGCGGGCGGUCAAGUCAGCGGUAAAAGCGCGCGGCUCAACCGCGCCCCGCAGUUGAAACUGGACGCCUUGAGUGCACAACAGGCAAGCGGAAUUCGUGGUGUAGCGGUGAAAUGCAUAGAUAUCAGGAGGAACCCCGAUGGCGAAGGCGGCCUGCCGGGGUGCGACUGACGCUGAGGCUCGAAGGUGCGGGGAUCAAACAGGAUUAGAUACCCCUGUAGUC
Molecule: ribosomal RNA, 459 nt
Filed under: uncultured bacterium
Lineage: Bacteria
Description: partial 16S ribosomal RNA
Rfam family: Bacterial small subunit ribosomal RNA
Source: RNAcentral